UCUUGGUUGUAAAUUAAUAAGUUAUUUACCAGAGUACUACGAAUACUAAAAAUUUAAAACUCAAAGGGCUUGGCGGUAUUUUAGACUGCUCAGGGGAACCUGUCUCAUAAUCGAUAAUCCGCGUUAAACCUAACCUCUUUUUGCGAUCAGCUUGUAUACCGUUGUCGUCAGGUAACUUUCUAGAAAUUAAAAGUUAGCCAUUAGCUAUAAACUAACAUGUCAAAUCAAGGUGCAGUUAAUAAAGAGGGGAAGAUGGGUUACAAUUAUAAAGUUAUAAAAACGGAAAGCUAUCAGAACUGAAGUUAUGAAGGAGGACUUGAAAGUAAAAUAGAUUAUAUAAAUAUUUUGAAUACAGCUCUGAAAUGUGC
This 368-nucleotide ribosomal RNA is filed under the name Pilsbryspira jayana. Its description in RNAcentral is "partial small subunit ribosomal RNA". It matches the Rfam family "Bacterial small subunit ribosomal RNA", at positions 875 to 1384 of the family's 1533-position model. The record is from RNAcentral. Lineage: Eukaryota; Metazoa; Mollusca; Gastropoda; Neogastropoda; Pseudomelatomidae.